CGCACAUUGCGCCCUCUGGUAUUCCGGGGGGCAUGCCCGUUCGAGCGUCAUUACAACCCUCAAGCUCUGCUUGGUGUUGGGCAGCACCGCCCGGUGCGCCCCAAAAUCAGUGGCGGCGCCGUCUGGCUUCAAGCGUAGUAAUACUUCUCGCUUCGGGGACCAGGCGUGCUCCUGCCAGCAACCCACACUUUUCAAAGGUUGACCUCGGAUCGGGUAGGGAUACCCGCUGAACUUAA
Molecule: unclassified non-coding RNA, 236 nt
Filed under: Ascomycota sp.
Lineage: Eukaryota; Fungi; Ascomycota
Description: partial contains 5.8S ribosomal RNA, internal transcribed spacer 2, and large subunit ribosomal RNA
Source: RNAcentral